Molecule: small nuclear RNA, 107 nt
Organism: Hyaena hyaena (striped hyena)
Lineage: Eukaryota; Metazoa; Chordata; Mammalia; Carnivora; Hyaenidae
Source: RefSeq, a predicted model, not a curated record
GUGCUCACUUUCGCAGCACACAUACUAAAACUGGAACAAUACAGAGAAGAUUAGUAUGGCCCUUGCACAAAGAUGACAUGCACAUUUGUGAACUGUAGAAAAAAAAA